UNCUGCCCUUAUCCCCAGAUUGUGACUCAGU
This 31-nucleotide non-coding RNA is filed under the name Mus musculus (house mouse). The record is from RNAcentral. Lineage: Eukaryota; Metazoa; Chordata; Mammalia; Rodentia; Muridae.